This 253-nucleotide ribosomal RNA is filed under the name uncultured bacterium. Its description in RNAcentral is "partial 16S ribosomal RNA". It matches the Rfam family "Bacterial small subunit ribosomal RNA", at positions 524 to 776 of the family's 1533-position model. The record is from RNAcentral.
UACGAAGGGUGCAAACGUUGCUCGGAAUUAUUGGGCGUAAAGCGCGCGUAGGCGGCCCUGUUAGUCCGCUGUAAAAGUCAAAGGCUCAACCUUUGAAUGCCGGUGGAUACUGCAGGGCUAGAGUCCGGAAGAGGCGAGUGGAACUCCUGGUGUAGCGGUGGAAUGCGCAGAUAUCAGGAAGAACACCGACGGCGAAGGCAGCUCGCUGGGACGGUACUGACGCUGAGGCGCGAAAGCGUGGGGAGCGAACAGG